AUGGCUCCCAGGCCUCUCCCCACGGCCGUGGACCCGGCAGCAACAACCCACUGUCCAGCGUUCCUCCGGUUUGUACCGCCCAGGGGAGAGCAUACCUCCUACAGUGUCACAAGCUUAAUUCUCGGCGCCUGCGCACGGCGCCUCGACGCAACGCACCGCCUUACGCUGCCGCGUGGGGCAGGACUUCCUCCUGGCGCCCCGGAAACCGGAAGGAGCUCUUUUCUGCAGGAAGGAGAAGGGAGUUGCCACCGACAUCGGAUACCGGAAAGCAGGCUCGUUGUGUUGCGUAAGCUCUUUCGACCUCGUCUGGAAAACGAGCUUAAUAGCUCACGGAAAAGUCGUGAGGAUAGAUACGGAAGGGAGAAAUCCACACCCAGAAUGAAGUUUAAGAAAAAACUCAAGUAUAUGAGCACUUUGAAAGCAGAACACCGUUGUUUCCAUGAUUCGAUCAUUCAGAAAUUAUGA
RNAcentral lists this long non-coding RNA (465 nucleotides) under Cervus hanglu yarkandensis (Yarkand deer). RNAcentral's name for it is "lncRNA (ENSCHYG00000023431.1)". The record is from RNAcentral. Lineage: Eukaryota; Metazoa; Chordata; Mammalia; Artiodactyla; Cervidae.